GACGAACGCUGGCGGCGUGCCUAACACAUGCAAGUCGAACGGAACUGCAAUGAACAAGACUUCGGUCAAGUGAGUUGUACGUUUAGUGGCGGACGGGGUGAGUAACGCGUGAGCAAUCUGCCUUUCAGAGGGGGGAUAACAUUCUGAAAAGAAUGCUAAUACCGCAUAAAGUGCACAGUUGGCAUCGACAGUGCACCAAAGGAGUAAUCCGCUGAAAGAUGAGCUCGCGUCCGAUUAGAUAGUUGGCGGGGUAACGGCCCACAAGUCGACGAUCAGUAGGGGUUCUGAGAGGAAGGUCCCCCACAUUGGAACUGAGACACGGUCCAAACUCCUACGGGAGGCAGCAGUGAGGAUAUUGGUCAAUGGGCGAGAGCCUGAACCAGCCAAGUAGCGUGCAGGAUGACGGCCCUAUGGGUUGUAAACUGUCUUUUAUAAGGGUAAUAAAGUGGGGCUCGUGAGCU
RNAcentral lists this ribosomal RNA (461 nucleotides) under uncultured bacterium. RNAcentral describes it as "bacterial SSU rRNA". It matches the Rfam family "Bacterial small subunit ribosomal RNA", at positions 28 to 467 of the family's 1533-position model. The record is from RNAcentral.